RNAcentral lists this ribosomal RNA (228 nucleotides) under uncultured soil bacterium. Its description in RNAcentral is "partial 16S ribosomal RNA". It matches the Rfam family "Bacterial small subunit ribosomal RNA", at positions 26 to 282 of the family's 1533-position model. The record is from RNAcentral.
AGAGCGAACGCUGGCGGCAGGCCUAACACAUGCAAGUCGAACGGACUCUUCGGAGUUAGUGGCGGACGGGUGAGUAACACGUGGGAACGUGCCUUUUGGUUCGGAAUAGCUCCUGGAAACGGGUGGUAAUGCCGAAUGUGCCCUUCGGGGGAAAGAUUUAUCGCCAUUAGAGCGGCCCGCGUCUGAUUAGCUAGUUGGUGAGGUAAAGGCUCACCAAGGCUACGAUCA